GUCAUUGGCAGGUGGCUAGACAGAUGCAGCA
Molecule: non-coding RNA, 31 nt
Filed under: Homo sapiens (human)
Lineage: Eukaryota; Metazoa; Chordata; Mammalia; Primates; Hominidae
Source: RNAcentral